GCGGGGAUAGCUCAGUAGGUAGAGCGGUGGCCUUUUAAGCCAUGUCUAACAUUGGUGAUACAUAGAUGAGCGCGUUACAUAACUUAACCACCUAUGUUUACGCAAUAUCUUGGCGUUGGUUCAAGUCCAACUCCCCGCUCA
RNAcentral lists this transfer RNA (141 nucleotides) under Caudoviricetes sp. RNAcentral's name for it is "tRNA-Lys". It matches the Rfam family "tRNA". From Rfam's summary of the family: Transfer RNA (tRNA) molecules are approximately 80 nucleotides in length. Their secondary structure includes four short double-helical elements and three loops (D, anti-codon, and T loops). The record is from RNAcentral. Lineage: Duplodnaviria; Heunggongvirae; Uroviricota; Caudoviricetes.